Molecule: ribosomal RNA, 253 nt
Filed under: uncultured bacterium
Lineage: Bacteria
Description: partial 16S ribosomal RNA
Rfam family: Bacterial small subunit ribosomal RNA
Source: RNAcentral
UACAGAGGGGGCAAGCGUUAUUCGGAAUUAUUGGGCGUAAAGGGCGCGUAGGCGGCCUGGCAAGUGGAAGGUGAAAUCCCUCGGCUUAACCGAGGAACUGCCCUCCAAACUGCUUGGCUUGAGUCCGGGAGAGGUGAGUGGAACUGCGAGUGUAGAGGUGAAAUUCGUAGAUAUUCGCAAGAACACCAGUGGCGAAGGCGGCUCACUGGCCCGGUACUGACGCUGAGGAGCGAAAGCGUGGGGAGCAAACAGG